This 328-nucleotide unclassified non-coding RNA is filed under the name soil metagenome. RNAcentral's name for it is "partial contains 5.8S ribosomal RNA, internal transcribed spacer 2, and large subunit ribosomal RNA". The stretch from base 1 to 120 matches the Rfam family "5.8S ribosomal RNA", at positions 35 to 154 of the family's 154-position model. The record is from RNAcentral.
GAUGAAGAACGCAGCGAAAUGCGAUAAGUAAUGUGAAUUGCAGAAUUCAGUGAAUCAUCGAAUCUUUGAACGCACAUUGCGCCCCUUGGUAUUCCGAGGGGCAUGCCUGUUCGAGCGUCAUUAUAACCCCUCAAGCUCAGCUUGGUGUUGGGGCCUGCUGCACUGGCAGCCCUUAAAAUCAGUGGCGGCGCCAUCUGGCUCUAAGCGUAGUAAUUCUUCUCGCUGCUGGGCCCCGGUGGCCGCUUGCCAGCAACCCCAAACUUUCUAUGGUUGACCUCGGAUCAGGUAGGGAUACCCGCUGAACUUAAGCAUAUCAAUAAGCGGAGGA